UUAGGGAAGAGGAAGAACACGCGCUUCCUCCAGUCACACCGGACGUUGGGAGGGACGGAGUCAGCGCCUCCGACUUGCUGUCAUCUAACGGACUGGGAGGAUGGUCCUGCUGGAAACAGAUGGUUUCCGCCUGUGUAUCUGCAGUCCGGCCACCUGGGAGUUCUGCAGACUCCUAGGCACUGGAAGAUACCGUCUCACACCACCUCCUUGUUGACUGGGACUCUGCUGCCUGUUUAUCUGGACUGCGGCAGCACGGGAAGAAAGGAAUGUGAAAAUGUGGAAAUGACUUCUUGUGUGUCAGAGGCUGUGAACUUGAGAGUCAUUUUGUGAAUUUUGAUCUCCAGGUUACUUCCGCAUUUUUUUUCUGUCUGUCUCCCAGUGACAGAAUUAUUUGUAGGCAGAUCCCCCGCUCCAUCUCCAUGCUGUAUCUCUCUCUUGCCAUAUAAAGUGAAUUGUUCAUUUCCACAGCAAAUUGUUAAUUUUGUAAACAGGAUGCCUCCUCUUUAAGAAUUGCUUUUUAGUUAUUACUGUUAUUUCUUAUAUUCUGGGUAAUAAAUAAUGCUCACAUUUAAGUGAUUCACAGUUCAAAGCACUUAGGACCAGUAAGAUAAGUGAACAAAAGUCAUUUCCUUCCACUAGAGUAUAAAAUAAUAGAUUCAACUGUGUGACUCUGGAUAGUCAUUGCAGUGAUCUCUCCAAGUUCAUAGUUUGCCCUUUGCAACAGGUACAGUCAAUGUCAGGUGUGUAGUUGGAUGUGUAGUUUUAUUUAGUGUUGUAAAGUUACGUAGUAGCAUAAUUCAUAUCACCAAGAUAACCUCACAUUAUCCUUGGUAUUUAUUGGCAGGUACAUAGAGCACGAGAAAAGGGCAGAUGGGGCUUUCAUGUAUUUCUUGGAUUCAAGGUCAUGACAUUUCACUUGUUUGUUGGCAGUUUUUCAAGUAUUCAAGUAUUUCUUCUGGAUACUGACUGUAUAUUAUGAAAACUAAAGGCCUCUAUCUUUUAUAUGUGGUAAAAAGAUUAUGUAACGGAGUUGAAUCCAUAUCUGAGCAGAUGGGCCAAUUGCAGGGUCAUUAUGUGAUUCCGCUGGUGUGCUAUUUCUGAAGUGUGAAAUAUUCAUUCUGUUCAGAUGGCUAGGAGAAACUGCCUCCCCCAAGGAAGUGUCUCAUGCGGCACUGUCCAACAGAAAUGGAAUCUGAGCCACAAUUGAAGUUAAAAUAAACAGGUGCAAUUAACUUUAGUAUGAUGUUUUAUUUAACCCAGUGUAUCCAAAAUACUAUCAUUUCAGCCUGAAGUAAAAAAAUGAGUAUUGAUAUAUUUUUCUUCCUUUUCUAACCAAGUCGUGAAACCCACUGUGUAUUUAUACUUCCAGCACAUCUCAGUUCGGACUCACUGCUUUCCUGGUAUGGAGCAGACACCCAAGGUCGGUAGUUGCCAAAUUGGGCAGUGCCAGUUGAUAGCCUCAUAAAGGGAAGAUCUUACUGGUUUGGUUGCAGCUUUGGUUGCAGAUAAGAGGGAGAGCAUGUGAUAUGUGCAUUCAUUUGCCAUAACUAAAUGCCAGUUCUUGAAAAGGAAAAUGUUGACAGGAAAUUCUAGAAAACGUAUUUCUGGUAUUUCUUUACACAGGUUGAAUGCUGUUCUGUAGCAGAGUUGACUUUAUUUCCAUG
RNAcentral lists this long non-coding RNA (1664 nucleotides) under Fukomys damarensis (Damara mole-rat). RNAcentral describes it as "lncRNA (ENSFDAG00000023707.1)". The record is from RNAcentral. Lineage: Eukaryota; Metazoa; Chordata; Mammalia; Rodentia; Bathyergidae.